AAAAAAUGAUGAUAGAGCAGCUUUUUCUUGUUACCCACCUCGGAAGAUCAAGUUGGAAAGGGCUAUUGAUAUUGUGGAGACGUUUUCUCACAGAGCUUGCUUAUCAGACAAAGACUAUUUAACUACAUCAGAAAGAUAAAGACAGUUGGAAUGGCUAUUCUUAUUGUGGAAACUUUUCUCAUGGAGCUCGAUAAUCAGGCAAAAUGCUGGAACACCAUUGAAAGAGUAUUUGCUGUAUGAUAACAACAAGAAAACCCAAGCAUCAAUUUAUUUUAUACUUCUGGGAAAGAAUGCAUUUGACCCAAUUUUUAAAUAUUUAUUUUUUGUUAUUAAUGUUAAAUUUUCUUCCAAAACACAAUUAGAUUUUAAUUCUCUUCAGAAAUGUAUGUAUAAUAUAGCAAGUAAAGUGACAUAUAAAUCACUUAGAAUUUGAUCAGAAAUCAUAAAGUAUUUAAUAGGCAUUACUAGAAACCAAAUGUAGAUCAAAUACACCCAGAAUUACAAAAAACCUUGACCUACAUAAAGGUGACUUUCCCUUGCUUAUGAAAUGAAAUACGGUUUAGUAUCCUACUUUUCUGUGUUCUUAGAGUGAUUCUGCCCUACACCCUACUCUUAUAUCAAAUAUUUCAACUGUCAAGGGUUCUUUAACGGGAACCCGGGGGGGGGGGGGGCAAUGAUUAACACGCACACAUUUGAUCAGGAAGUCUGUCAUUGAGUCAAAUAAUUCAAUUGUCAAGGGUUCUUCUAAGUGAACGCAGUG
This is a long non-coding RNA of Patella vulgata (common limpet), 760 nucleotides long. RefSeq lists it as uncharacterized. NCBI's taxonomy places the organism in Eukaryota, Metazoa, Mollusca, Gastropoda, Patellidae. The transcript has 4 exons. The record is from RefSeq and is a predicted model, not a curated record.